UGGUGGAAAGUGGCGAACGGGUGAGUAACACGUGAGAAACCUGCCCCAAAGAUUGGGAUAAGCCUUGGAAACGAGGUCUAAUACCAAAUACCUUCUUUUAACACAUGUUAAAAGAGAAAUGCUCCGGCGCUUUGGGAUGGUCUCGCGAUCUAUCAGCUUGUUGGUGAGGUAACGGCUCACCAAGGCAUCGACGGAUAGCUGGCUGAGAGGAUGUCCAGCCACAUUGGAACUGAGACACGGUCCAAACUCCUACGGGAGGCAGCAGUAGGGAAUCUUGCACAAUGAGGGAAACCUUGAUGCAGCGACGCCGCGUGCGGGACGAAGGCCCUAGGGUUGUAAACCGCUUUCAGUAGGGACGAAAGUGACGGUACCUACAGAAGAAGCCCCGGCCAACUAUGUG
RNAcentral lists this ribosomal RNA (400 nucleotides) under uncultured bacterium. Its description in RNAcentral is "bacterial SSU rRNA". It matches the Rfam family "Bacterial small subunit ribosomal RNA", at positions 86 to 507 of the family's 1533-position model. The record is from RNAcentral.